CAAUAGCGUAUAUUAAAGUUGUUGCAGUUAAAAAGCUCGUAGUUGGAUUUCUGGUAGGAGCGACCGUGCCGAACUUGAUUGUUCGAGUAUUGUGUUGUCUUCAGCCAUCCUCGUGGAGAACUUUUCUAACAUUAACUUGUUGGGAUUGGGACCCGCGUCGUUUACUGUGAAAAAAUUAGAGUGUUUAAAGCAGGCAUUAGCUUGAAUACAUUAGCAUGGAAUAAUAAGAUAGGACUUUGGUACUAUUUUGUUGGUUUGCAUACCAAAUUAAUGAUCAACAGGAACAGUUUGAGGAUAUUCGUAUGAACAUGUCAGAGGUGAAAUUCUUGGAUUCUGAUCAGACGAACUACUGCGAAAGCAUUUAUCAAGGAUGUUUUCAUUAA
RNAcentral lists this ribosomal RNA (383 nucleotides) under uncultured eukaryote. RNAcentral's name for it is "partial 18S ribosomal RNA". It matches the Rfam family "Eukaryotic small subunit ribosomal RNA", at positions 592 to 976 of the family's 1831-position model. The record is from RNAcentral.